Small nuclear RNA from Gavia stellata (red-throated loon), 162 nucleotides. RefSeq annotates it as U1 spliceosomal RNA. NCBI's taxonomy places the organism in Eukaryota, Metazoa, Chordata, Aves, Gaviiformes, Gaviidae. The record is from RefSeq and is a predicted model, not a curated record. The transcript has a single exon.
AUACUUACCUGGCAGGGGAGACACCAUGAUCAAGCAGGAGGUUUUCCCAGGGCGAGGCUCAUCCCCUGCACUCCGGGUGUGCUGACCCCUGCGAUUUCCCCCAAAUGCACAGGAUCAUAGAGACAAGUCCUUCCUGAAGCAGGGAUACUUAUUUUAUACUAA